Molecule: ribosomal RNA, 484 nt
Filed under: uncultured bacterium
Lineage: Bacteria
Description: partial 16S ribosomal RNA
Rfam family: Bacterial small subunit ribosomal RNA
Source: RNAcentral
AUUGAACGCUGGCGGCAGGCCUAACACAUGCCAGUCGAGCGGAUGAAGGGAGCUUGCUCCUGGACUCAGCGGCGGACGGGUGAGUAAUGCCUAGGAAUCUGCCUGGUAGUGGGGGAUAACGUCCGGAAACGGGCGCUAAUACCGCAUACGUCCUGAGGGAGAAAGUGGGGGAUCUUCGGACCUCACGCUAUCAGAUGAGCCUAGGUCGGAUUAGCUAGUUGGUGGGGUAAAGGCCUACCAAGGCGACGAUCCGUAACUGGUCUGAGAGGAUGAUCAGUCACACUGGAACUGAGACACGGUCCAGACUCCUACGGGAGGCAGCAGUGGGGAAUAUUGGACAAUGGGCGAAAGCCUGAUCCAGCCAUGCCGCGUGUGUGAAGAAGGUCUUCGGAUUGUAAAGCACUUUAAGUUGGGAGGAAGGGCAGUAAGUUAAUACCUUGCUGUUUUGACGUUACCAACAGAAUAAGCCCCGGCUAACUUCGUG